RNAcentral lists this ribosomal RNA (435 nucleotides) under uncultured Erythrobacter sp. Its description in RNAcentral is "bacterial SSU rRNA". It matches the Rfam family "Bacterial small subunit ribosomal RNA", at positions 73 to 549 of the family's 1533-position model. The record is from RNAcentral. Lineage: Bacteria; Pseudomonadati; Pseudomonadota; Alphaproteobacteria; Sphingomonadales; Erythrobacteraceae.
CCCUCUUUUAGAGGGAGUGGCGCACGGGUGCGUAACGCGUGGGAACCUGCCCUUAGGUUCGGAAUAACUCAGAGAAAUUUGAGCUAAUACCGGAUAAUGUCUUCGGACCAAAGAUUUAUCGCCUUUGGAUGGGCCCGCGUAGGAUUAGAUAGUUGGUGGGGUAAUGGCCUACCAAGUCGACGAUCCUUAGCUGGUCUGAGAGGAUGAUCAGCCACACUGGGACUGAGACACGGCCCAGACUCCUACGGGAGGCAGCAGUGGGGAAUAUUGGACAAUGGGCGAAAGCCUGAUCCAGCAAUGCCGCGUGAGUGAUGAAGGCCUUAGGGUUGUAAAGCUCUUUUACCAGGGAUGAUAAUGACAGUACCUGGAGAAUAAGCUCCGGCUAACUCCGUGCCAGCAGCCGCGGUAAUACGGAGGGAGCUAGCGUUGUUCGGA